Arabidopsis thaliana (thale cress) is the source of this 494-nucleotide long non-coding RNA. RefSeq annotates it as other RNA. The record is from RefSeq. NCBI's taxonomy places the organism in Eukaryota, Viridiplantae, Streptophyta, Magnoliopsida, Brassicales, Brassicaceae. The transcript has a single exon.
UGCUUCUUCUUCUCGAAGGGUUUUACUUUUUCGUUUUUAUUUUUACCUUUGUUUUUUUGUUACAAUUGCGAAAAAAUGGAAAAACUGGUUUUGUUCAAUAAUCAAAUUCCACUAAUCGGGUGGACUUCCCUCUCCUAUAUUUUUUUAGAAAGGAAGUCAUUAGAGUUUUUUCUCUGGCAACGGUAGUUCCGUUGUCCAACUAUCCGUUUAGAAUCUUUUGGCUUUUGACUUUUUGGCUUUUUAUCCGAUAACUUUCGUUUUUAUGGCAAUGUUUGGCCAGCUUUAGUUUUGACACCGUCCGUUUCUCUUUACGGUGGUGGUCGGCUAGCGUCUGGCAUCUGUCGGCUUUUACAAAGGCGGUUGACUGGCUUAUAUCUAGAGUUUCAUCGUCCUUCUAUUGUGUCUCGUCUAGCUUCUAAUCGGAUUUUUUCCGGUUUAAAUUUAUCUUUUCGUUCUUUAGUUUUCUUUACAUUUGGUUUGAUUGGCCCUCUUGU